RNAcentral lists this long non-coding RNA (1089 nucleotides) under Homo sapiens (human). RNAcentral describes it as "HSALNT0131943". Lineage: Eukaryota; Metazoa; Chordata; Mammalia; Primates; Hominidae. The record is from RNAcentral.
UCCAGUUUGUGCAAUGACAAGCUGGUGUGGCUGAAACGGCAGUUGCUCAAGAGCAUUAGAACAGCCUUCACCAUGUGGGUUUACAUGGACAGCACGGUCAGCAGACAGUGAGACGGGCGCUUGUCCACUCGUCUGACACCGUGGGGCCAUAGGAGGCAGCGACUGAGAAGGUCAGUCCCAUUAAAAAUGCCCUUUGGCUCAUCUGGAAGCUGUAUCUCUGGUCAUGCACCAUGCCAGCCACGCCAGCCACGCCAGCAUUAUCACGGCAUGUGCUUUAAAAUCAUGCAGACGUUGUUCUAGAGUGAGUGUGAACAGCUUUCACACUUGGGCACUGUGCCGGUUCCCAUGCUGGCUUUCCCACAUGCACACAGGUGGCUGGCACGCAGCUCUGCACCUCUUACUGUUGGGAGCUCAGAAGCCUCUCUCUGUGGUGGUUUUUCAUCUCGGGAUAAUUGAACCCAGCUGGGAAGUACCAGGACCAGAGAAUCUCUGCUGCAUAAUAUCACCACCCCGUGGCAACUCACAAAGCAAGAUUUUCACCGAGAAUCGCACAUAGAAAUAAUUUCACAUCUGCUUCUGGAAAGAUUUUCACCGAGAAUCGCACAUAGAAAGAAUUCCACAUCUGCUUCUGGAGCACAUUUCCCUCUAAAGAGAGGGGCAGAGCGACUUCACCGUCUGUCGUCAUCUGGUGGUGGAAACCACUUCUAGGUUUGAAGGUCUGCUGUGUGCCAAAAUAUUUUACCAUGCCCUAAAAGUGAGAUGUUGGAAGUGGACAAGGAGGAAAUAUUUAUGAAUAUUUGAGUCUGUUAUUCUUUAUGUUAAGCAUUUUGGCUUCUGUUGUACUCCUAAAUCACUACUGAGAGCAGAGAAAGAGCUCUUUGUAGAAAUGAGAUGUGUUCCUGUGUGCUGCCUGUGACGCAUCCCGUUGUCACCGGAGUGCCGUGGCCCUAAGGAAUGACAGCAUUAAGGCAUGGACGUUAAAGAUGGACAAAAGAAUUGUUCACGGUGUUGUAUUUUAAAAUGACUAUGUGUAUGACAAUUAAACUAUUGUGUCUUCGUUUACUCCAUGUGUUCUGCCUGACAGCUGGG